Molecule: ribosomal RNA, 462 nt
Filed under: uncultured bacterium
Lineage: Bacteria
Description: partial 16S ribosomal RNA
Rfam family: Bacterial small subunit ribosomal RNA
Source: RNAcentral
GACGAACGCUGGCGGCGUGCUUAACACAUGCAAGUCGAACGGAAAGGCCCUUCGGGGUACUCGAGUGGCGAACGGGUGAGUAACACGUGGGUGAUCUGCCCUGCACUUUGGGAUAAGCCUGGGAAACUGGGUCUAAUACCGAAUAGGACCACGCGCUUCAUGGUGUGUGGUGGAAAGCUUUUGCGGUGUGGGAUGGGCCCGCGGCCUAUCAGCUUGUUGGUGGGGUAAUGGCCUACCAAGGCGACGACGGGUAGCCGGCCUGAGAGGGUGACCGGCCACACUGGUACUGAGAUCCGGCCCAGACUCCUACGGGAGGCAGCAGUGGGGAAUAUUGCACAAUGGGCGCAAGCCUGAUGCAGCGACGCCGCGUGAGGGAUGACUGCCUUCGGGUUGUAAACCUCUUUCACCAGGGACGAAGCGUAAGUGACGGUACCUGGAGAAGAAGCACCGGCCAACUACGUG